Molecule: long non-coding RNA, 1542 nt
Organism: Sebastes umbrosus (honeycomb rockfish)
Lineage: Eukaryota; Metazoa; Chordata; Actinopteri; Perciformes; Sebastidae
Exons: 7
Source: RefSeq, a predicted model, not a curated record
CGGAAGAGACCUGUUUGGGUUUGGAGGAGGAAGCAUGGAGGGGAGGAAGGAGAUGUUUUUGGAGAGCCAGCAGGCCAGGCAUGCAGCAACCUGAACUCAAGUUGGCUGUUACAACGAUCAGUCUGUGUUAUGCCAGAACGCUGACAGCAAGGUACCUGGUGGACAGUCACUGGUUCAAACAGUGGAAGAAACAUGUGGGACAAAUACCAGAUGGGUGACCAGAAUGUCAACCCAGGACCAGUUGAUGACUCUUACUCUCUUUUCAGAGAUGGGGGAUGCGCUGGCCAUCAAGGAGCACCACGUCGUUGAGCUUGACUACAUCUUGGUCACAACAGAGGGGCUGGAAUAAUCUCGUCAACUGGUAUGGAUUGACAGAGAAUCAGGAGCCAAUUUCACGCAAGGACUGUGGGAGGGGGCCGGUGAAAACCCACACUGACACGAGGAGAACGUCCAAAGACAUGCAGAUUUGAAAAAGACAGCGAUGGAUACGACAGGAUUGGUGAUCUUGCUGCUUCUAGCACUAACGACACUUUGACUGGGCGUCUCCAGAGAAUACCACUACGUACAGCAUGCUGAACACCUGGAAUGAAGCUCAGAGUGACUGUAGAGGAGAUUUUGCCAACCUGGCGACCAUAGAGACAAAAACAGCUCUGACAAACUUGUAUGGACAGGACUUCAUGAUCACAUUAACAGCUGGAGGCGGUCCAUGGACAACACAUAUCUCUACGGUGAUGAUGGCAGCACAGAAUUUGGAGAAUGGUUUGUUUUAGUAUUGGACGACCACCAAGGUAGAGAGCACUGUGUGGAAAUCAUUAUGGGCUCAUUGUAUGACUUUUGAUCAAUUGCAGAGGCAUGACUCUGAGGAUAAAAGUAUCCAGUAAAAGUGUCCUAAAAAUGUAUUUAGUGAUUUGUUAUCAGAUCAGAAGGAAGUUAUCCUGGUUGGUCAAAUUUGCAACUAAUUCUAUUCAAUUCUAUCUUCAAAUAUUUGAUUUGAAGCUAUCCAACAGUGUUGUCAGCAUGGCGGCACAGUGUGAAUUUCAGCUAUCUUAUGGGACAACAUUAUUAGCCAGGAAGUUGGUAUCAAUAAUACGUUUAUUCUGUCUUGUAGAUGGAGAAACAUGUGAGGGACCAUGGGAUCAGUCAGAAGUUCAGACUGAGAUGGAGGAAGAUGGAAAAAUCGUACCAAAGACAGGUUGAACCGUUACUGUAAAUGCUGUCUGUUUUCCUUCUCAUACAAACGACACAGUCUCUGCUUUUAAAACAUGAAGCCUUUUUAUUUAACAAGUACUGAGAUACAUAUUUAAAGCAUUUAAAUCUAUGCCAAUUAUGUACUUUGUGUGUUUAAGUGGAGCUUUAAUUAGGCCUACUGUUUGCCCUGCUGUUGUUAUAUUGGUACUUCUUACAAAACAGUUUUAAAUAACAAUAAAUGCAAAGUGUGUUUUUGCUUAGUCUUAAUGAAUGCAUGAGGAAAGGUGAUGGUCCGUUUUUAAAAGAGGUUGGUAGUUCACAGUAGAUUACUGUGACACCAUUUAGGCUGUGGCC